RNAcentral lists this small RNA (448 nucleotides) under Pan troglodytes (chimpanzee). RNAcentral's name for it is "processed transcript". The record is from RNAcentral. Lineage: Eukaryota; Metazoa; Chordata; Mammalia; Primates; Hominidae.
AGCUCAUCACAGAUGACUUUGUGAAGCAGAAGUAAGUAUCACCUGAGCUAACUGCGGCUCUCACUCGAGCAUCCUUUGUGUGCUGGUCUGGCUGAGAAAGCAGUUCCCUAUCCCAAAUCUUCAACUGGAGGGAUGGGUGCCUCUGACCUGGGAGUGAGUGGCAGUGGGGGUAUGCGAGUGUGUGGGGAGCCGAAGGCCAGGGCGGUCUUGGGAAAAGGGAGCUCACGUCACCUGAGAACACGGUGUGGGGUGUGAAAACGGCCGCCAUCACCUUGAGCACCUGCCCUGUAGACUGACACAAAGAAUUCCUUCUCGACACAGCACCCUAGGCGGCUUCUUCCUGUCAGUCGGAGGUGGCAUGCAAGAUGAAGCUCUCUUUGCUCUUCCUGCUUUCAUUUUGUGCUUUUCCUUGUGCUUUCAUGUUUUGGGUAUCAGUGUUACAUUAAAG